This 69-nucleotide transfer RNA is filed under the name Furcatopanorpa longihypovalva. RNAcentral describes it as "tRNA-Phe". The record is from RNAcentral. Lineage: Eukaryota; Metazoa; Arthropoda; Insecta; Mecoptera; Panorpidae.
AUUCAAAUAGCUUAUACAAUAGAGCAUAACACUGAAGAUGUUAUUGAGAUUUUUUUUAAUCUUUGAAUA